This is a non-coding RNA of Paramuricea clavata, 668 nucleotides long. NCBI's taxonomy places the organism in Eukaryota, Metazoa, Cnidaria, Anthozoa, Malacalcyonacea, Plexauridae. The record is from the annotation of a GenBank genome assembly.
GGUUCAGUCACGUGUCAUGGAAAUAUGGUAAAGAACGUGAACUGUCCUAAAGAUCAGUACAUGGUGGUUAAGAAUGCAUCGUACCGUGCAUUUCCUGCCACAAAGACAUGUGGUUUGAGUGACGAUUAUAGUUGCGAAGCUAAUGUAACAUGUAUUGUUAAGAAAGAAUGUGAUGGUCAACACGAGUGCAAAUUAAUUGUGGAUGACAAGUUGUUCUCUGGUUAUCUGUGUACUGAAUUGAAAAAAUAUCUUUACUUUGAAUAUCAAUGCGUUGAUACAGCGAUGCCUUUUAAUGAACAUUGGGCUGUGUAGACUGAGUACUGACAAUAGAGAGGUUUAAAUUUUACUUCCACUACAGCUACUUGUCGGUGACUUAAUACUUAUGUUAAUUGGUUAUUAUAAUCUCUGAUUGGUUAAUUGUAACGGUAGUGAAAGUCAAAUCUGAAUCUUUCUACUUUACCUUAAUUUUUAAUUUAUGUUACUCUAUGUUUAGCCAAUAGCCACAUAUAAUAUUCCAGACAUACUGUGUAGAAUAUAGACAUACACAAAUAAUAUUAUUCAUGGUAAAAAGAGAUCGAGAAACCACAAGGCUACUUUCAUGGCAAAACGCAACAAGCAUUAGCUACAUUCACUAUUCAUUGAUUCUGUUGUAAGAUGGCAGUGUUAUA